Molecule: long non-coding RNA, 251 nt
Filed under: Gossypium barbadense (sea-island cotton)
Lineage: Eukaryota; Viridiplantae; Streptophyta; Magnoliopsida; Malvales; Malvaceae
Description: long non-coding RNA (GBAR_LNC002132)
Source: RNAcentral
GGGAAGCUACAUGGGUAGUCUGAGGAUCAUGAGGGGGUGGAGGUCUAAUGGCCGGAUUCGUACGAACGAACUCGGCAAACAAUUCAUUCAUAGCUUCUUGAGCCCCUCCUCCCUAACUAACUGUAAUGGGCCUUUCACUACUAUCUGGUGGCAUGGUCCCUUCUGCGGGAGCGAGCACGUUACUUUCUACAUCAUCUGUACCAACUCAUUCAGGAUCUAUUACUAUAAAAGAAAAACAUUUUAAAAUCGUU